This 615-nucleotide long non-coding RNA is filed under the name Homo sapiens (human). RNAcentral's name for it is "non-protein coding lnc-IPO11-2:1". Lineage: Eukaryota; Metazoa; Chordata; Mammalia; Primates; Hominidae. The record is from RNAcentral.
UGCACAGAGGCCAAACAAGCCAUAUCCCUGUUGCAUGUUCUGCGAGGAGGGUCAGGAAACUCUCCCGUUUCAAUGGGCAAACUCAGGAACAGGCCAUGAUGAGAAGAGGGCUUGUCAUCCGCAGCUACCUGGAGCACUAUGGCAAUAAUUUACAUCUUGAAAAAAUUGUUCCUGACUUCAAAAUACAGAGGAACUUAGAUUGCUAACUGGAGCCUGGAAUCUUAUUAAAGGUAAUUCUUGGAUAACGAAAAUAUUUUUCUUCCAUAGUUAUAGAGUUUAGAUUUUUAAGUAGUUUUACAUUUUUUUAAGCAAUUUAUACUUCUCAUGAAAACCUUUUUCAUUGAGACUGUGUAGUUUAUUAAGAUAAAGAUGGUUAUUGUAUUUCUUUAUAAUUAGAAAACUCCUCCAAAAAUAUUUUGUAAAUUCUCAUUGUCUUUUUUUCUUUUUUCUUUUUUCUUUUGAGACAGAGUCUCAUUCUGUUGCCCUGGCUGGAGUGCAGAGUCUCAAUCUUGGCUCAUUGCAACCUACUCCACAGGAUCUGUUCUCAAUGCUAGAUUUACAGAAGGCAGUGGUAAAUCUCAUUAAUCCACAAGGACCCAUGAGGGCUCAUCUGAC